AAAAACCUCACAAUUCCCCAUGCCUAUUCAAAUUCAAAAUACCCCUUCGACUCACAAACAAGAUAAAACUCCUUGAUUGAAACUCCAACUUUCCUUCUUCUCUCUUUCUCAAUGUGACGGAUUUCAAUAUAUCUACCUAAUCCCAUUAUCCAACAGCAACAUUCCCACAGGUGGACAGCAUUCAAAUUCAAAAUCCAUCAAAGACUCAAUCUUCUCUCUGAGUCUCAGAUAGAGGGAGAGAGAGAAGCUUCAAGCUAGGCAAUGGCAAUGAUGAGCGUAUGCAAGAAAUCCUCAAUGCCAAGGCAAUCCUCGUACAACUCCCUCUAUGUCAACCCUCUCAAUGACCAACUCAAACACAACCGUAGCUGCAGCGAAGGAGGUACCAGAACCCCAGACAUCAUAUUCACUACUGACGACAUUGACAACAUUGACAAAGAGAACGAUGAGCCCAACACUAACACUAACAGGAAGCACAAACAAAAUGCAAAUGGUUUUGCUUUCUCUUCUUCUAUUUCUAAUCCUAUCAACAAAUCUUUAUCUACCAACACCAGGGUCUUGGUGAACUUGAAGCCUUCUUCGCUUCAGUUUUGCAUGCAAAUGAAUGAGCCCGACAAGGCCUUUUUCCCCUCUAAGGUUUGGGAACCCCCUGAGUCCGAGAAUUCCAGUUCUUUGAAUAUUUGGGACUAUUCCGAUUCCGAAGCUGCUCCGGCUUCUUCUUGGUCUACACUGCCUAAUAGGUCCUUGUUGUGUAGGCCAUUGCCUCUGGAUAUCGGAAGGUGUACUUGUGUAAUUGUGAAAGAAGAAGCAUCUCCAGAGGGACUUCAUCGGGGUACUCUAUACUCUCUUUAUACCAAUGAAGGUCAGGGACGACAGGAUCGGAAACUAGCUGUUGCUCACCACAAGCGGUACAAUGGAAAGUCUGAGUUUACAAUAGCUCAGAAUACAAAAGGAAUAGUGCCUGAUUCAGAUGAUAAUUUUAUUGGGGUUGUAACAUCUAACCUCAUUGGUUCUAAAUAUCAUAUUUGGAAUCAGGGGAGACGCCUCAAUUCCCAAACUAUGCAAUCUAAAUCACUUCUGGCUGUUGUCAGAUUCAUGCCUACAGUAGCCACCUGUACAGGAAGUUAUAGAAGCAUGAUGGCAUACAUACCGAAGCAACAAUUUAUGCAGUUAAAGAAUGCAAACCAGGUACAACACAUUUAUGGACUGCCAAAGGACUGGGAGGGAAAAGUAGACCAUGUUCAUGAGCUAUUCUCAAGAGUUCCGAAUUACAGCAAAAUUUCAAAGCAAUAUGAGCUAGAUUACAGAGACAGAGGAAGGGCUGGACUUAGAAUCCAAAGUUCUGUAAAAAAUUUCCAACUGACUUUGGAGACAAAAUUUAUCAAUAUCUGUAGACAGUUGGAACUUGCAACAUUGGAAUUGAGGCGCUUUUAAGUGUGUUUGGUUUUACAAAAAGGGGUUCCUAAAUGAGUGUUGCAGAAACAUAUUACUUUGGGAUACUUACUAGUAUAUGGUUUAACAUAGGAGAAUGGAAAACAGUCAAUUUUGCAGCUUGGAAGGGUGGGGAAAUCAAAGUAUGUAAUGGAUUACAGAUAUCCUUUGACAGGUUUCCAAGCAUUUUGCAUAUGUUUGGCUUCUAUUGAUACAAAGCUCUGUUGCAUUGUGUAAUAAAUUUCUCCUGCCCCUUUUUACUUGUACUUCUCUCUAGCCAAAGGACCAAAAAAAAAAAAAAAAAUAGAA
Quercus robur (English oak) is the source of this 1737-nucleotide RNA transcript. It is a transcript of the gene named tubby-like protein 8, with no coding region annotated. The transcript has 9 exons. The record is from RefSeq and is a predicted model, not a curated record. Lineage: Eukaryota; Viridiplantae; Streptophyta; Magnoliopsida; Fagales; Fagaceae.